This 93-nucleotide non-coding RNA is filed under the name chicken gut metagenome. RNAcentral's name for it is "TPP riboswitch (THI element)". It matches the Rfam family "TPP riboswitch aptamer (THI element)", at positions 9 to 90 of the family's 105-position model. From Rfam's summary of the family: Vitamin B(1) in its active form thiamin pyrophosphate (TPP) is an essential coenzyme that is synthesised by coupling of pyrimidine and thiazole moieties in bacteria. The previously detected thiamin-regulatory element, thi box was extended, resulting in a new, highly conserved RNA secondary structure, the THI element, which is widely distributed in eubacteria and also occurs in some archaea. Analysis of operon structures identified a large number of new candidate thiamin-regulated genes, mostly transporters, in various prokaryotic organisms. The record is from RNAcentral.
AACAGGGGAGCUUGUGCAGACAGGCUGAGAGGAAGUUUGAAACUUCGACCCUUUUACCUGAUGCGGAUAAUGCCGCCGUAGGAAGUGUGAUAU